AAGGAAUCCUAAAACCCUAACUUACCACCCCCUUCCUCCCCCCCACCACACCGACCAAUGGCGCCGCGCGGCAACCGCAGCAGCAAGAAGCCGCCGCCGCCGCGGGGCAAGGGCAAGGGCAAGCGCCCCUCGUCCGCCGCCGCCGGAGACGACCCCUUCUUCGAGUCGGAGCCCAAGCGCCGCCGCGCCCGCGCGGACGAGGACAUCGAGAGCGGGGACAGCGACGACGACGCCCUCGCGCUGGGCGGCGCCGUCGUGGGCGAGGAUGAGGAGGAGGAGAAGGAGGACCUGGAAACGGCCGGGGAGAAGAGGUUGCGGAUGACCAAGGAGUACCUGGAGAGGAUCACCGACGCGGUGAAGAGGAACAAGGAGGAAGAGGAGGAGGAGGACGACGAAGAUGACGACGAGGAUGAUGGUCUGCCCGGGGGGAGGCGGGUCGCCAAGCUCCUCCGGAAGAAGCAGCUCGUGGAGAGCGGCAGGCAGCGCCUGAGCCUUGCCGCAAGGGUGUUACCGCCGGGACAGCAGGAUGGAUUCAAAUUUAUAGCCAAGCACCGGCAGCCAGUGACUGCCGUUGCUCUGUCUAAGGACAGUGACAAGGGCUUUUCGGCGUCCAAAGAUGGAGUUAUCCUCCAUUGGGAUGUCGAGACCGGGAAAAGCGAGAAGUAUUUGUGGCCAACUGAAAAGGUGUUGGUUUCGCACCAUGCUAAAGCUCCUCUGUCUAAAAAGAGAAGCCAGCAGGUGCUUGCACUGGCUGUUAGUUCCGAUGGGCGAUACUUGGCCACUGGUGGCUUCGAUAGGCAUAUCCAUUUGUGGGAUGUUCGAACACGGGAGCACAUACAGGCAUUCAGUGGACAUAGAGGGCCAGUAUCCUGUCUUGCUUUUGGCCUGGACUCUUCGGAGCUAUUCUCUGGUUCUUAUGAUCGUUCAAUAAUGCAGUGGAAUGCUGAAGAUAGAACAUACAUGCACUGCCUAUAUGGUCAUCAAGGUGAAAUAUUGACAACUGAUGCACUCAGCAAAGAUAGACUUCUGACUGUAGCACGGGAUAGAACAAUGCAUCUUUGGAAGAUACCGGAGGAGUCACAGUUAGUCUUUCGCGCGCCUGCUGUGUCUUUGGAGUGCUGCUGUUUUAUCGAUGACAAGGAAUAUUUGUCUGGAUCAGAUGACGGAAGCCUCGAGCUUUGGAGUGUUAUGAGAAAGAAGCCUACUCACAUAAUAAAAAAUGCCCAUCCAGCAUUAGCUCCUAGUUCACUUGACAGUGCUGAUGAAAAGUUGCCCAAAGAAAAUGGAAUUUGUAAGCCUCAAAGCCUUUCAUCAGCUCAUUCAUGGAUUAGUGCUGUUGCUGCAAGAAAAGGUUCUGAUCUGGCUGCGUCUGGAGCAGCAAAUGGUGUUGUUCGCCUUUGGACAAUUCAACCUGAUUCAAAAGGGAUGCAGCCAUUGUUCGACUUGCCACUGGAUGGCUUUGUCAAUUCUCUUGCAAUAGCAAAAUUGGGACGCUUCAUUGUUGCUGGUGUUGGCCGAGAACCUCGUCUUGGGAAAUGGGGCCAUGUCGCAACAGCAAAGAAUGGGGUUGCAAUUCACCGGCUUAGUCUACAAGAUGACUCUGAAGAUUUGUAAGGUAGAUAGCCUGCGCAUUGAGGAACACCCUGCGGCUUGUUCAUACACUGUCAAGACGAGAAAAAUUGUACCAACACCAUGAGUGUCAGUCACACUUGCAGCUGAAAGAUACAGGAAGGUCGAACCGCAAGCUUCACGCAUGCUAUAGUUCUAUGAUGCACCAGCUUUACCGUUCGGUUCAGUGAAGCAAUUUCUGUGUGCAAGCACGGAUGGAGAGGUGUUGGAAUGAUUGGAUGUAGAAUGCGUGAUUUCUGGGGAAUGUCAUGUCCAGUUUUCUUCUCUGUUUCCAUUGUAGACGGCAGGUGCAGGUUUGAAACCCUAUUCUUUUGCGCCCUGCCUGAAAUGAUUGUCACAGGAAAUUGUUGAGGUAGUUUUUUGCAGGGAAACAUUUUUGUGGUUUUGGCUUUGGCGGGAGACAUUCUAUGUAAUAGCAAAUUUUGAUGGCUGGUAGCGGUCUUUGGUGAAACUGAAAUUUAUGUUCUUUCCUCGAUACAAAUAUG
This 2114-nucleotide ribosomal RNA is filed under the name Triticum aestivum (bread wheat). RNAcentral's name for it is "partial small subunit ribosomal RNA". Lineage: Eukaryota; Viridiplantae; Streptophyta; Magnoliopsida; Poales; Poaceae. The record is from RNAcentral.